AGCGGCCUACGGGGCGCAGCAGUGAGGAAUAUUGGUCAAUGGUCGGGAGACUGAACCAGCCAAGCCGCGUGAGGGAUGAAGGUACAGAGUAUCGUAAACCUCUUUUGUCAGGGAACAAAGGCGGGGACGUGUCCCUGGAUGAGUGUACCUGAAGAAAAAGCAUCGGCUAACUCCGCGCCAGCAGCCGCGGUAAUACGGAGGAUGCGAGCGUCAUCCGGAUUUAUUGGGUUUAAAGGGUGCGCAGGCGGUCUGUUAAGUCAGCGGUCAAAGCCCGGGGCUCAACCCCGGCCCGCCGUUGAAACCGG
This 305-nucleotide ribosomal RNA is filed under the name uncultured bacterium. RNAcentral's name for it is "bacterial SSU rRNA". It matches the Rfam family "Bacterial small subunit ribosomal RNA", at positions 333 to 636 of the family's 1533-position model. The record is from RNAcentral.